This 674-nucleotide ribosomal RNA is filed under the name uncultured bacterium. RNAcentral describes it as "bacterial SSU rRNA". It matches the Rfam family "Bacterial small subunit ribosomal RNA", at positions 79 to 749 of the family's 1533-position model. The record is from RNAcentral.
CUUGCUUCUCUUGAGAGCGGCGGACGGGUGAGUAAUGCCUAGGAAUCUGCCUGGUAGUGGGGGAUAACGUUCGGAAACGGACGCUAAUACCGCAUACGUCCUACGGGAGAAAGCAGGGGACCUUCGGGCCUUGCGCUAUCAGAUGAGCCUAGGUCGGAUUAGCUAGUUGGUGGGGUAAUGGCUCACCAAGGCUACGAUCCGUAACUGGUCUGAGAGGAUGAUCAGUCACACUGGAACUGAGACACGGUCCAGACUCCUACGGGAGGCAGCAGUGGGGAAUAUUGGACAAUGGGCGAAAGCCUGAUCCAGCCAUGCCGCGUGUGUGAAGAAGGUCUUCGGAUUGUAAAGCACUUUAAGUUGGGAGGAAGGGUUGUAGAUUAAUACUCUGCAAUUUUGACGUUACCGACAGAAUAAGCACCGGCUAACUCUGUGCCAGCAGCCGCGGUAAUACAGAGGGUGCAAGCGUUAAUCGGAAUUACUGGGCGUAAAGCGCGCGUAGGUGGUUUGUUAAGUUGGAUGUGAAAUCCCCGGGCUCAACCUGGGAACUGCAUUCAAAACUGACUGACUAGAGUAUGGUAGAGGGUGGUGGAAUUUCCUGUGUAGCGGUGAAAUGCGUAGAUAUAGGAAGGAACACCAGUGGCGAAGGCGACCACCUGGACUAAUACUGACACUGA